This 300-nucleotide ribosomal RNA is filed under the name Triticum aestivum (bread wheat). Its description in RNAcentral is "partial small subunit ribosomal RNA". The record is from RNAcentral. Lineage: Eukaryota; Viridiplantae; Streptophyta; Magnoliopsida; Poales; Poaceae.
AUGCUCGAUCACUCUAGCCGGACACACUUACCUGGGUUAUGCCUGGCCUCGGAAGAUCAACACCUCGUAGCCCUACCUAGGCUCAACAGAGAGGCCAGCACGUCGGUCUACAUCCUAAGCAUGCAGGGGUCUUGGGCCCAUCGCCCUUUGCACUCCUUCAUGUUGCAAGGGCGGCUGGUGUCAGUCUUGGCAACCUCGUUAUACAAGGCAGGUGCUUACGCGGGCUACCUGGGUGCACGCUGCUCAGUCGCUGAUGUUUGGAGAGCUUCGGCUGAUACAUACGACGCCGAGUGCCCAUAA